AGCUUGUACACCAUGUAGAGGGGGAUGCAGAUGAAGGACGAUGCUCCGAUGAGGAAUCCCACCGAGAUGCUCCACUCAGGCCAUAUCCUGGUCCCUGCUGGGGACACAGCUGGACUGUCCUGCUCCUACCGUGCUGUCCAGCCCCAGGGUGAUCAUCAUCAGGAAGAAAAUGAUGGCGAAGAAGGUGGACCCCACCAUGUUGGCAAUUGCUUCAGGGUAGGUGAUGAAGAGGAGGCUGGGCCCUAGGAGGGAACACUGGCUUGGUUGGCUGUUCCCUGGCACAGCCCCGGGGGUGGGAAUUCUCUUGGGGAAGAGGCUGCUGGAGGGAGGAGAACCUUUAUCUCUGGCAACAUCCUCCACCUCCACGUCCCUCAUCUCGGCCAUGUAGCCCAGCACGGUGAAGAUGACGAAGCCCGAGAGGAAGCUGGUGAGGCAGUUCACGGCACUGGUGACGAGCGCGUCCCUGGAAGGCAGAAAAGAGGGAGAGACGCCCCCCCUCCAGGCUGAAGUAGACGAUGGUGAAGAUGAGGAAGAGGCAGAGGAGCAGCUGCCAGCGGAUCCCCCCGAUGUCGUACAGACCCCCGGAUUUCUGGAUCUCCAGGACCUUCCUCCUGCAAGGAGGGAUCCCCACGGCCGGGAGCAGGCUCAGCCCCGGGCAGGCAGUCCAUGAGCUCCUCAGGAGCAUUCCCACCUGAGAGCCUGCUCCCAGUGCCCCCUCAGCUCAAACACACCAUCCACAGCCGUGCACUUACGUGUAAAACUCCUCGGCGGGGGACCUGGAGAAGUUGGUCCAGGUCACGUUGCUCUUCCCGAAGUAGUUGGUGCAGUCAGGGGUGUUCCAGGGGUUGUCACAGCUCGCCCAGGGCAGGGUGCCCGAGAAGGAGGAGUAGAAGUAGUAGAGAGCCCAGGCGAUGAUGGUGUUGUAGUAGAAGGAGACGUAGAGGCCGAUGAUGCAGAUGGCAAAGCCGAUGCCUGGGAAAAGCAGGAUCAGGCUCAGCCCUGGGACACAGCUUUGGGGACUGGCUGGGGGUCACGGUGUCACCUGGGCUGCGGGUCUCUCACCUUUAAAGAGGGGGCAGAUGCGCUUCCAGAUGGGGAUGGCACCUGUCCUGUGGAACUGCCCCAGGGCCAGCUCCAUGUAGAAGAGGGGCACCCCCCCGAAAACAGCCAUCAGCGUGUAGGGGAUGAGGAAGGCUCCUGCAGGGUGGGGAGCACAGCAGGGUGACCGCCAGGCUGCCAGGGGACCAUGGCAUUGUCACCUCCUUCCCUCCUGCUGCUGCCCCAACAGGUUUGGAUGUGUUUGUGAGAAGCUUUGGAAAUGAUCUGGUCAGAGGAGCUCAGAGAUGUGAGACCCUGCUCGGUGUUCCAGCUUCCCAGCACAGCCCCGCUGGCAUCCCAUCCUUCACUAGGGAGGCACCAUUUGGCCAGGAUGGAACAAAGAGCCACACAAACCGUCGGGGCGCAGGGGAGGGGACACCCAGCACCCCUCAGGUCUAGAAGAGUUUUGGAGAAAAUCCGAGUGAAUAUGCGCAGCCACCCCAAGACACAUCAUUAACGCUGUAAUCUGCAUUAUUCAUAACAUCCUCGUUUUUACUGGGGCUACACUUGUACCCCAUGGAGCUUUUGGAAGUGGAGCUGCUCUCCGAGUUCUGCUGGGAUUAGUUAAUUUAACCCCCCACGGCUCCUCCUUCUGACAGAUGUGUGUGUGCUGUGGCAUCCCCAGCACCCCAACAUUCCCAGUAUCCCCAAAAUCCCCGAGCACCUCCAGCAUUUCUGGUAUCCCUAGCAUUCCCACUAUCCCCAAUAUCUCUGUCAUCUCCAGUACCCCAAAUAUCCCCAGCACCCUCCUGCAGCCCCCCCAUCAGCCUGGCAGGACUGGCCCAACAGGACCAAGUGUUUUCAGUGUUUUUCCUUCCAGGCAGAGCCUAGGCUCUGGGUGAGUCCAGUGCUGCCCAUCCCAGUGUUCCCACUCCAUGGGGCUGUGCUCCCCCAGCGCUGCUCCCUGAACUCCUCACCCUCCCGUGUGCGUGGGGCAGGUGGGAACCACCCACCCCAACCACGGCCACGCAGAGGGGCUCAGCUCUGCUCCCAAUCCCACAGGAGCAACUCACAAAUAACUGCGUUCCAACGUGGGCACCUGGGAUCCACGGUUUUGCCUUGAGUAUGGAACUAAUUAUCUCUUUCUAAUCUUCCCAAGCAGUAGAGGAUGUUCCCCGAAAGCUGACUUUGGCAAUUAAAUCCGCUGCGCUCUCCCAAA
Corvus hawaiiensis (hawaiian crow) is the source of this 2257-nucleotide long non-coding RNA. RefSeq lists it as uncharacterized. The transcript is spliced from 3 exons. Lineage: Eukaryota; Metazoa; Chordata; Aves; Passeriformes; Corvidae. The record is from RefSeq and is a predicted model, not a curated record.